Molecule: microRNA precursor, 115 nt
Organism: Setaria italica (foxtail millet)
Lineage: Eukaryota; Viridiplantae; Streptophyta; Magnoliopsida; Poales; Poaceae
Source: Rfam
GGGAGCGUGCGAUGUUGGCAUGGUUCAAUCAAAUCGGGUGAUCUUUGCCCUUGUGAUGAGGUGGUGGUGUCUUCCUUUGAUCUGAUUGAGCCGUGCCAAUAUCACAAACUUCCUA